GGAAAGAAGUCUAUGAAUAUUUAGAGGUAAAUCCUUUCUCUAGGCCCAGGGUUAUAUCUGACCGUGAGCUAUGUAUACAAGGAUUUCACCAAAUUCCUAAAUUUACUUUAGUAUUUUAGGUGUGAAACUUUUCAAAAAGAUAGAGGCUAAUGUUCAUAGGGGACCAAAGCUAUUUAUACUGCUCCAUUUUUGUUGUGUUGUUUGGUUUGCAUUCACCAAGGAGUCAUUUGAGAGUGAUUUAGAAGAGUUAUGUCUCCAGUGUCAGACUGUUGCCUCUAAUGGCAUUUGACAUCUUAGUAAGAUUCUGGAAUAGGCCCAGACUCUAGCACUGUACCACACAGGAGCAAAGUCCUUAUACCUAAUAUUCUUACUAGAGAGAACAAAACCUUCUGACCAGUCUUAUCAGUGACAUUUGUAUUUACUACAUGACAUCUUGAUUACUUUUUCCUUCAUGCUCUAUAGGAUAUGAUUCUUUUGAGGGAAAAAUAAGUGAAAUAUUUUCCACCCCUAAAUUUCAAUGGAAAGAAGAAUAAAUUGGAGUUUAAUAAAAAAGUUAUUUCUAACUGGACUCCUUUUGAAAGCUUGAUACUUACAAGAUUCAUUUCUUCAUUCUCUCAGGUCUUGCUUACUUCCUGUAUUUUUAUGAAAGCUUCAAGUGAUUCUCUGAAAGGGGCAGCAGAGUUGAGUAUCAACAAAAGAAAAGCAAUGGCAGAAUAUUUUCACUCAUCCUCCCUUAUUUGGUCCAGUAUUGACAAGCGUCCUUGUAAUUCUCAUCUUUAGAGGAUAGUUGCCUGUCUUUUCUACCACUUUGGCUAAAAGAUGACUUAUUAAUGAUGAACUGACUCUUGAAUUUAAGAAAAAUUUUAUCCUAGUUUUUCAUAGACAUAAGAAUUUUCAUUCAGGUCAUGAAAUAUUUAAAAUGAAAAAUGGGUAACUCUUUAGUAAUGCAAAGUGGAAAAAGAGGAGAUAAUAAAAUACAGAAGUCUUAUAGAAAUCAACUCUCUUUUUAGUAUCCAAUUCCUCUUUUUUUGUAUCCUAUUCUCCUGUUUACCAUUCUUACCAUCAAACAUUUUCUGUCUUUGCUGAAGUGGUUGGACUUCAGCAGAUUGGUGCUAUCAUUUCUUUACCAAAGGAGGUUGCUAAUGAGCUGUAUUUUUUCCAGCUGACUCUUAAUGAUCCAUUUUCAUAUAAUCAGGUGCUAACACCCCAGCAGCAGGACCUAAAAUAUCCUGACUGGGCCUCUGCUUACUGUGACACACUGGCUGCACUUCAUUAAGGAACUGAGAUACCUCCAAGUGCAUCGUAGGACUGCAGAGUCUACAGAACAAAGGACCAUGUCUAGCUUCUCAUUACUGAAGAAAUUAUACAGGGAGAUACCUUUGAGGCCUAUUUCUCCCUCAAUAUUCAUGUCUAAAUCAACAUUAGCCCUGAGAUGACACUGCUUAUGAAUUGUAAAUCUCUGUGACUUGUCUAUAGUAAGCGGUCCCCUAGAGGAGCUGCAAUAUUACUCUUUAUAAAUAAUCAGAGCUGUUCCAUCCUAAAGAGAACAGCAAAUUGGAAUUCACUUUGAAAAAUCAAAAUCUCCAGGUUCCACAAGUCCCAUAUAUUUAGAUUUCUGGACUUUAUUCCAAAGCACUAGAAUAUUUUUAUUUAACUUUAUCUAGUUUACUUAUUUAGUUUUUUAGUUAGCUAAUUAGUUACUUGCUAUAAACUGAAGGGACUAUCUCUUUACAAAGUUCUCUUCUGCCACAGGAUGAUGCAUAUGUCCUGGCACAGUAGUUGGAUGUCUAUUCCAAUUCAUGGAGGAUUUUUCAAGGGAAGCAAAUUCCCUAGGCAUCCCAGGUAUUGCACUUUAAAGAGGUUGCCAUGAAGUACAGUAUGUUCUGCCGUAAACCACGGGUACUAGGUCCUUAGGCAUCCAGAUGGGCUUUGGAUGUUGCUAAUGUCAGGCUAAUCUGGGUAAGUGUUUCAGAAAAACUGAUGAACAAAGCACACAAAGCCAGAUAUGCAUACUUAAUGCAUGUACAUUUGUCCACUCCCAUCAAAAUCUCCAUAAGGAAUAGAAGGCAAGAUUUCUGUGUGUGUGUGUGUGUCAAUGCUAGUACAUGAAAUAAUUUCUUAGAAGGUUAUCAGACAGAAAAUAAAAAUAAGAAAAAUAUCAUAACUGAUGAUACUAUUUUAAGGAGGAAAAUUUUCACUUUACCCAAAAUGAGUCUUGAAUCAUUCAUUGAUUCGAUCAUUUACUCCAUAAAUAAAUGUGUUAUGACAGGUACUGGGUUAGAUGCAGGAGUUAGGGUUGUGAACACAACCUCUAAGAUUUUUUAUUUAUUAUUAUUAUUUUUUUUUUGUCUUUUGUCACUUUAGGGCCUCACCUGUGACAUAUGGAGUUUCCCAGGCUAGGGGUCUAAUCUGAGCUACAGCUGCUGGCUUACACCACAGCCACAGCAACGCCAGAUCCAAGCCGCGUUUGUGACCUACACCACAGCUCACGGUAACGCCAGAUCCUUAACCCAAUGAGCAAGGCUAGAGAUCAAACCCAAAACCUCAUGGUUCCUAGUCAGAUUAGUUUCCGCUGUGCUGCGACGGGAACUCCGACUUCCAAGUUUUAUUCUUAGAAGCUCAUAAGACUUAGCUUCUAAUGGAGGAAACAUGAUAAACAAAUAAACCAUUAAAUAUACAAAAUGAGAACAGAUUGUGAGAUGUGUUCUUAAACAGAAGAGGGUAAUGAGCGAAAAAAUGGCAAGGCUUAGAGUAUGAGCGAGAGGUAUCCUGUAAACUGAGAUGUGAAGAAUGAGAAGGAGCCAGAUUCACCAAAGUGGAGGGAAGAGUAUUCCAAGCACAGUAAUUGCCAAGAGGCACAAGGAGUGAUAUUUUCAGGGACAAUAAAGGAAGCCUGCAUGUAGAAUGAAUCAGUGCUAUAGUGUACAUAGCACACAACUGCAUUUCAUUUUUUUAAAUAUUUUUUUAAUUUUCCCACUGUACAGCAAGGGGGUCAGGUUAUCCUUACAUGUAUACAUUACAAUUACAUUUUUUCCCCCACCCUUUCUUCUGUUGCAACAUGAGUAUCUAGACAAAGUUCUCAAUGCUAUUCAGCAGGAUCUCCUUGUAAAUCUAUUCUAAGUUGUGUCUGAUAAGCCCAUUUCAAACAAUUAUACAAAAGGACAGCAUGGGAGGGAUGAGAUUUUCCUCCAAAGUUCAUAAUCAGAUAGGGCCAUCUUUCACUUCUCUUAUUCUGAUUUACUCAUACAUAAAUUGACUAGAACCAUCUUGAACCAAUUUAUGACACCUUUUAUUACUUUUUAAGGUAUAAUGAACUUUGGUGGUUAGUUACCUGCAGUUUUGAGUAAUGCUUCCUUUCUAUUUGACCUAAAAUGACCUCUUUUUAAUCUUCAAAAAGUCAUUUUUAAAUGUCUAAUGCUCUGAGACAUAAGAAAUGUCUGCUCUCAUUUUUUUUACACAAUCCAGAUUUUUACUUACCUCAGAAAAUUUACCUUUAAUUUUCACCACAUCCAGACUGAAGUGUUUUUCUUUUUCAGUUCUUCUUAUUGAGUAUGCCCUCUAUCCCUUUAAUUAUUCUAUGACCAGUAGGGUGACUUCCAUAUGGGGAUAAUCGGUAUAGUGUGCUUUGUGAUACCCGAGGGGUUCAAAAGGACUCCAUAUCCCCAAAACACUUUUUCCCAUUUGCUCACAGUUGAAUAAAAUUUUUACCUUUGUGACUUCUUUGGAUAAAAUGAUUGAAGACUCAUUUGUUGGCUAUGAAGGAUAAACAUUAACUCUUAGACAAAGCCCUUUCUGACAGAAUAGGACACUGGCGAAAUUAUAAGAAAGGAACUGAACACCUGGAGAGAGGAAAUCAGGAAAUCCACGUUAUUUCUGCAGAAGUAUGCAGUAUAUUGAUUAAAACUAUGGUGUUGGAUUCAUACAUAUCUGAUUAGAAUCCUGGCUCCACUAGUGACUAGCUGGGCAAAUCAUUAAAACUUAUAUGAUCUUCAUCUUCUGUAUCUGUAAUAUGAAGAAACCAAUUGUGCUUAACUUGUAACGCCUUUGAGAUAAUCAAAUGAAGUAAUGUAGAUAAUGUACUUGGUCCAAAGUUAGCCCAAAAUGUAGUAUUACUAUAAAUGUUAACCUUCCUGAAACAUUUUUUCAUAUCUGUAAAAUAGGAGCAAGAAUCUCCCAAAUCACAGGAGUACUAAGAUUUACAACCCUGUGUUUGUAAUAGGAAUAGAACAAUUUAGAGAUGCAUACAUACAGAAGUGAACAGGAAAGGAAACAUACAGAGGCAGUAAAUAAUCACUGUAGAAGACACAGUGCUGUACCAUUCAUAUCCCUUUUGCAAUUGAAGAACCUAUUCCUCCAGCUUCAGGAAGUGCUAUGAGCAGAUAUUUCUAAGCUUUCCGCUCAGCUCUCUAUAGAGUUGCCUUGGCACUGUCCAAUCUGUACGCCUUUUCCUUGCCCAGAAUAGGAAGGAAAAUAAAAACCUGGUCCUUGUGUCCAAUGUGACACAAAUUUGAAAAGUCAUCUGUAAUUUUUAAAUCCCUGUGGAUCUGCUGAGCACUUCUUUGAGCUACUUCACAGCCCAAUUUCUCCUUCCAAAUUUCAUUUUCUUCCCUUCCCUUUCUCAUGUGGAGAUCCAAAAAGCACUCUCCAAUGAACCUCCUGCAUUUCUAAUCUCUGUCUCAGAGACUUCUUCCUGGGAACCUAAUCACGUUCCCUGACCUAUCAAAAAUCCCUCCCUUGGCCCUAGAGAUUGCCACUUUAUUUUUGGUUUGAGAUGGAUUGCUAUGUCAUUUUAUUGUCAAAUAUCUCAAUUUGAUCAUGUUUUCUAUUGUAUUCUAUUCACAUAGAAUACUAUCAUUUUGAAGUUACUUUUUAACUGUAAAAUAAAACAGAAGUAAAACACACACACAAAUUUAUCUCAAUGAAAUAUAAGGAGACAAACAUCUUUGUAACCAGUGGCUAACGAAUCCAACUAGGAACCAUGAGGUUGCGGGUUCGGUCCCUGCCCUUGCUCAGUGGGUUAACCAUCUGGCCUUGCUGUGAGCUAUGGUUGCAGGCACGGCUCGGAUCCCACGUUGCUGUGGCUCUGGCGUAGGCUGGUGGCUACAGCUCUGUUUAGACCCCUAGCCUGGGAACCUCCAUAUGCCACAGGAGCGGCUCAAGAAAUGGCAAAAAGACAAAAAG
This 5181-nucleotide long non-coding RNA is filed under the name Sus scrofa (pig). Its description in RNAcentral is "lncRNA (ENSSSCG00015059435.1)". Lineage: Eukaryota; Metazoa; Chordata; Mammalia; Artiodactyla; Suidae. The record is from RNAcentral.